RNAcentral lists this transfer RNA (73 nucleotides) under Gloeobacter kilaueensis JS1. Its description in RNAcentral is "tRNA-Leu (TAA) (tRNA-Leu-TAA-1-1)". It matches the Rfam family "tRNA". Rfam says of the family: Transfer RNA (tRNA) molecules are approximately 80 nucleotides in length. Their secondary structure includes four short double-helical elements and three loops (D, anti-codon, and T loops). Lineage: Bacteria; Bacillati; Cyanobacteriota; Cyanophyceae; Gloeobacterales; Gloeobacteraceae. The record is from Rfam by way of RNAcentral.
CCGAGCGUAGCCCAAUGGUAGAGGCAGAGGACUUAAAAUCCUUCCAGUAUGGGUUCGAAUCCCAUCGCUCGGA